UUGUGAUGAGAUUACAGCUGGCACCAGUCUGAGAAGACUUGUACUCUUUAAAUGCGGAUCAGCUUUCAUAAUGGCAAUUUGCCUACAAUCUGAA
Molecule: small nucleolar RNA, 94 nt
Filed under: Exophiala sideris
Lineage: Eukaryota; Fungi; Ascomycota; Eurotiomycetes; Chaetothyriales; Herpotrichiellaceae
Description: Exophiala sp. SST-2011 A. fumigatus snoRNA Afu_190
Rfam family: A. fumigatus snoRNA Afu_190
Source: Rfam by way of RNAcentral